RNAcentral lists this ribosomal RNA (465 nucleotides) under uncultured Klebsiella sp. Its description in RNAcentral is "bacterial SSU rRNA". It matches the Rfam family "Bacterial small subunit ribosomal RNA", at positions 338 to 795 of the family's 1533-position model. Lineage: Bacteria; Pseudomonadati; Pseudomonadota; Gammaproteobacteria; Enterobacterales; Enterobacteriaceae. The record is from RNAcentral.
CCUACGGGGGGCUGCAGUGGGGAAUAUUGCACAAUGGGCGCAAGCCUGAUGCAGCCAUGCCGCGUGUGUGAAGAAGGCCUUCGGGUUGUAAAGCACUUUCAGCGGGGAGGAAGGCGGUGAGGUUAAUAACCUCAUCGAUUGACGUUACCCGCAGAAGAAGCACCGGCUAACUCCGUGCCAGCAGCCGCGGUAAUACGGAGGGUGCAAGCGUUAAUCGGAAUUACUGGGCGUAAAGCGCACGCAGGCGGUCUGUCAAGUCGGAUGUGAGAUCCCCGGGCUCAACCUGGGAACUGCAUUCGAAACUGGCAGGCUAGAGUCUUGUAGAGGGGGGUAGAAUUCCAGGUGUAGCGGUGAAAUGCGUAGAGAUCUGGAGGAAUACCGGUGGCGAAGGCGGCCCCCUGGACAAAGACUGACGCUCAGGUGCGAAAGCGUGGGGAGCAAACAGGAUUAGAUACCCGGGUAGUC